AUCGCCGGCCCCCGCCCGCCCUUCUCGCCCGCAGACCUCAGAGCUGCAUUCCCGCCUGCUUCCCACACGGUCGCAGUGGAGAGGGGUGUCUCCAGCAGAGCCUCUCUCUGUGGAAAAUGACAGCAGCAGCAGCGGCGGCCUGGAGGACGCCAGCCUUAAUUGAGGAUGCGC
This is a long non-coding RNA of Balaenoptera musculus (blue whale), 171 nucleotides long. RefSeq lists it as uncharacterized. The record is from RefSeq and is a predicted model, not a curated record. The transcript is spliced from 3 exons. NCBI's taxonomy places the organism in Eukaryota, Metazoa, Chordata, Mammalia, Artiodactyla, Balaenopteridae.